GACGGACGCUGGCGGCGUGCUUAACACAUGCAAGUCGAACGGAAAGGCCCUGCUUUUGUGGGGUGCUCGAGUGGCGAACGGGUGAGUAACACGGGAGUAACCUGCCCUUGACUUUGGGAUAACUUCAGGAAACUGGGGCUAAUACCGGAUAGGCGCUCCUGCUGCAUGGUGGGGGUUGGAAAGUUUCGGCGGUUGGGGAUGGACUCGCGGCUUAUCAGCUUGUUGGUGGGGUAGUGGCUUACCAAGGCUUUGACGGGUAGCCGGCCUGAGGGGGUGACCGGCCACAUUGGGACUGAGAUACGGCCCAGACUCCUACGGGAGGCAGCAGUGGGGAAUAUUGCACAAUGGGCGGAAGCCUGAUGCGGCAACGCCGCGUGCGGGAUGACGGCCUUCGGGUUGUAAACCGCUUUCGCCUGUGACGAAGCGUGAGUGACGGUAAUGGGUAAAGAAGCACCGGCUAACUACGUG
This 468-nucleotide ribosomal RNA is filed under the name uncultured bacterium. RNAcentral's name for it is "partial 16S ribosomal RNA". It matches the Rfam family "Bacterial small subunit ribosomal RNA", at positions 28 to 507 of the family's 1533-position model. The record is from RNAcentral.